UUAUAUUCUGGUUCUACAGAGGUAUAACUUCUCUUUUCUACUUAAGUAGCAAUGUUAUGUAAAUUAUCUUACUACGUUUUCAAAGCCACAUUCUUGUGUUGGACCAUGUGGAAUUUAAUUAUAUGGUCCAUUUGUUCCCUCAAUUGCAGAAUUGAUUUAGUUUCUUUUAUUGUAUAAUAAAUUUGAGGGUGGAAUUCUAUAUUGGUGUGAGGAACCCUCUAAUCGCCUUCAUUAUAGUGAAAGAUCUGUAGCGGCAAGGGUGAACCAUUAAAAAUCUUGCUCUUUGUUUUCCUUUUUCUUUCCAUUUAUCAUUGCUCCUCGAGUUACAGAUUAAGGUUUAAUUCUUAACAAUUCGGAUACUAAUGUUUCCUCACUUGGAUAUAUAUGCUGAAGGAUUCAGUAAACUGAAAAUGAUAUUACCAAAAUUUGAUGGUGCAGCAAUGCGAGCAAAGUGACAACUAAUGUACAUUCACAAGGAAUACGAUUUCUCACUGAAGUUACAGGCAAAACAGGUUCAAAACCAAUAAAAGAAGCAUCUAAUGUUCCACCUCAACCAACGAGUAAAACAGACAGCCGGUCCUUGAGAAAGGAUAUGCACAGAAGUAGACCAAGUCAACAACCAGAUUCCAAGAAAAUCAAAAUUGAUCAGCUGCAGGCUCCAGUAGAGAAAGGCAAGCAGGUUGGUGAAAAGAUGAUUGAGCUAGACCUUUUUAGCUCAGACGACGAGCUUUAGUGGCAUAUGUGGUAAGUCGGCUAGACAAUAUUAAUGAUGAAAAAGAAAUUAAAAUUUUGUCCAUAGUAUCAUCAAGUUCCAUCUGUCCCUACUUCAUGGUUGACCCUCAAUUUCCCUGAAUGUAUGAAAACAAUUGCUAAAAUUUGGAAAUGGCUAGGAACUGUAAAAUCCUUGACGAUGCAGAUUGUUUUGAGAAAUACUUGGUCGUAUUCGGUUUUUGGUGAAUUUUUGGGUGCUCUGUCGGGCUGUAAUAAACUCUACAAGAUGAGAUGCCAACAUGAAUGAGAAGUCGUACAUGUGAACCCAUAAUUUGACACUAAUUUCCUAGUAAUCACAUUUGCGUGCCA
Long non-coding RNA from Olea europaea var. sylvestris, 1080 nucleotides. RefSeq lists it as uncharacterized. The transcript is spliced from 3 exons. Lineage: Eukaryota; Viridiplantae; Streptophyta; Magnoliopsida; Lamiales; Oleaceae. The record is from RefSeq and is a predicted model, not a curated record.